GAGUUUGAUCGUGGCUCAGAUUGAACGCUGGCGGCAUGCCUUACACAUGCAAGUCGAACGGCAGCAUGAUCUAGCUUGCUAGAUUGAUGGCGAGUGGCGAACGGGUGAGUAAUACAUCGGAACGUGCCCUGUAGUGGGGGAUAACUAGUCGAAAGAUUAGCUAAUACCGCAUACGACCUGAGGGUGAAAGUGGGGGACCGCAAGGCCUCAUGCUAUAGGAGCGGCCGAUGUCUGAUUAGCUAGUUGGUGGGUAAAGGCCCACCAAGGCGACGAUCAGUAGCUGGUCUGAGAGGACGAUCAGCCACACUGGGACUGAGACACGGCCCAGACUCCUACGGGAGGCAGCAGUGGGGAAUUUGGACAAUGGGCGAAAGCCUGAUCCAGCAAUGCCGCGUGUGUGAAGAAGG
This 407-nucleotide ribosomal RNA is filed under the name uncultured microorganism. Its description in RNAcentral is "bacterial SSU rRNA". It matches the Rfam family "Bacterial small subunit ribosomal RNA", at positions 9 to 414 of the family's 1533-position model. The record is from RNAcentral.